RNAcentral lists this ribosomal RNA (274 nucleotides) under uncultured bacterium. RNAcentral's name for it is "partial 16S ribosomal RNA". It matches the Rfam family "Bacterial small subunit ribosomal RNA", at positions 523 to 796 of the family's 1533-position model. The record is from RNAcentral.
AGACGGAGGUGGCAAACGCUGUUCGGAAUCACUGGGCUUAAAGCGCGCGCAGGCGGCCCGCUAAGUCAGAUGUGAAAUCCCUCGGCUCAACCGAGGACCUGCAUUUGAAACUGGCAGGCUAGAGUACAGGAGAGGGAAGUGGAAUUCCUAAUGUAGCGGUGAAAUGCGCAGAUAUUAGGAAGAACACCGGUGGCGAAGGCGGCUUCCUGGACUGUUACUGACGCUGAGGUGCGAAAGCUAGGGGAGCAAACAGGAUUAGAAACCCCAGUAGUCC